Molecule: long non-coding RNA, 469 nt
Filed under: Medicago truncatula (barrel medic)
Lineage: Eukaryota; Viridiplantae; Streptophyta; Magnoliopsida; Fabales; Fabaceae
Description: lncRNA gene4264
Source: RNAcentral
UAUUUGGUUAAAAACAAAAAUCUAAAGACAUAUUCAUGUGAAACUCGUGGAACACACAUAUAAUAUUUCUAUAUGUGACAUAAAUUUUUAGGGAGUAUGUGACAUAAAAUUAAAAUUGUAGACUUUGAAAUUAUAAUAAUUCUCCAGUAUGUUAUUGUACUCUCCCAGAUGUGAUACUCAAAGAAUCAACGAGGAAUCCAUUGACACCUGUAAUCAAUACACUUAUGAAUAAAAUAUUUGUUGGUUCCACGUCUUGGACAAUUGUCAUCAGUUUUACAUAUAAGUUCACCUGUUUAAAUUUCAAAGAUAAUAAAAUAACAUUACUAAAACAUAGAAAUCGUUGUGUAGGAACUAAGAAGUGAAGAAGAAAAUUCUGGAAAAAGGAUGAAAGAAUAUCUUACGAUAAUGUUCAUUUGCAAUGAAAAGAAUUAAACUCAUAGCAUAAAUAAAUUUGAUUAUUGCAGACAUA